GGGAGCGCGAGCUGCUGUCCAGUCGAUUAACGGGAAGUGGAUGUAAAUAAACAGUGGAGCGGCUGCACAAGAGCCGCCCCGCUGGGUAAAAUCAAGUUGUGCCGCGGAACCCGCUCCUCAGCUCGUCACACUUCGGAAGCGCGGGCAACGCAGGUAUUAUCGUCUAAAGGGCCGGCUGCAACCGGCCC
RNAcentral lists this small RNA (188 nucleotides) under uncultured Collinsella sp. Its description in RNAcentral is "Collinsella-1 RNA". It matches the Rfam family "Collinsella-1 RNA". The record is from RNAcentral. Lineage: Bacteria; Bacillati; Actinomycetota; Coriobacteriia; Coriobacteriales; Coriobacteriaceae.